This 454-nucleotide ribosomal RNA is filed under the name uncultured bacterium. RNAcentral's name for it is "partial 16S ribosomal RNA". It matches the Rfam family "Bacterial small subunit ribosomal RNA", at positions 28 to 507 of the family's 1533-position model. The record is from RNAcentral.
GAUGAACGCUGACAGAAUGCUUAACACAUGCAAGUCAACUUGAACUUCGGUUUGGGUGGCGGACGGGUGAGUAACGCGUAAAGAACUUGCCUCACAGAUAGGGACAACAUUUGGAAACGAAUGCUAAUACCUGAUAUUAUGAUUAUAUGGCAUCGUAUAAUUAUGAAAGCUAUAUGCGCUGUGAGAGAGCUUUGCGUCCCAUUAGCUAGUUGGAGAGGUAACGGCUCACCAAGGCGAUGAUGGGUAGCCGGCCUGAGAGGGUGAUCGGCCGCAAGGGGACUGAGACACGGCCCUUACUCCUACGGGAGGCAGCAGUGGGGAAUAUUGGACAAUGGACCAAGAGUCUGAUCCAGCAAUUCUGUGUGCACGAUGAAGUUUUUCGGAAUGUAAAGUGCUUUCAGUUGGGAAGAAAAAAAUGACGGUACCAACAGAAGAAGUGACGGCUAAAUACGUG